This 253-nucleotide ribosomal RNA is filed under the name uncultured bacterium. Its description in RNAcentral is "partial 16S ribosomal RNA". It matches the Rfam family "Bacterial small subunit ribosomal RNA", at positions 524 to 776 of the family's 1533-position model. The record is from RNAcentral.
UACAGAGGUGGCAAGCGUUGUUCGGAAUUACUGGGCGUAAAGCGCACGUAGGCGGAUUUGUAAGUCAGGGGUGAAAUCCCGGGGCUCAACCUCGGAACUGCCUUUGAUACUGCAAAUCUCGAGUCCGAUAGAGGUGGGUGGAAUUCCUAGUGUAGAGGUGAAAUUCGUAGAUAUUAGGAAGAACACCGGUGGCGAAGGCGGCCCACUGGAUCGGUACUGACGCUGAGGUGCGAAAGCGUGGGGAGCAAACAGG